RNAcentral lists this microRNA precursor (103 nucleotides) under Marmota monax (woodchuck). Lineage: Eukaryota; Metazoa; Chordata; Mammalia; Rodentia; Sciuridae. The record is from RNAcentral.
AAUGAGAUAGCUGGGUCAAAUGGUGGUUUCAUUCCCAGUUUUCUGAGGAAUCUCCAUACUGCUUUGCAUAGUGGUUGCACCAAUUUGCAGUCCCCCCAGCAAU